AUAAUGGGUCAGCGACUUAUAUUCUGUAGCAAGGUUAACCGAAUAGGGGAGCCGAAGGGAAACCGAGUCUUAACUGGGCGUUAAGUUGCAGGGUAUAGACCCGAAACCCGGUGAUCUAGCCAUGGGCAGGUUGAAGGUUGGGUAACACUAACUGGAGGACCGAACCGACUAAUGUUGAAAAAUUAGCGGAUGACUUGUGGCUGGGGGUGAAAGGCCAAUCAAACCGGGAGAUAGCUGGUUCUCCCCGAAAGCUAUUUAGGUAGCGCCUCGUGAAUUCAUCUCCGGGGGUAGAGCACUGUUUCGGCAAGGGGGUCAUCCCGACUUACCAACCCGAUGCAAACUGCGAAUACCGGAGAAUGUUAUCACGGGAGACACACGGCGGGUGCUAACGUCCGUCGUGAAGAGGGAAACAACCCAGACCGCCAGCUAAGGUCCCAAAGUCAUGGUUAAGUGGGAAACGAUGUGGGAAGGCCCAGACAGCCAGGAUGUUGGCUUAGAAGCAGCCAUCAUUUAAAGAAAGCGUAAUAGCUCACUGGUCGAGUCGGCCUGCGCGGAAGAUGUAACGGGGCUAAACCAUGCACCGAAGCUGCGGCAGCGACACUAUGUGUUGUUGGGUAGGGGAGCGUUCUGUAAGCCUGCGAAGGUGUGCUGUGAGGCAUGCUGGAGGUAUCAGAAGUGCGAAUGCUGACAUAAGUAACGAUAAAGCGGGUGAAAAGCCCGCUCGCCGGAAGACCAAGGGUUCCUGUCCAACGUUAAUCGGGGCAGGGUGAGUCGACCCCUAAGGCGAGGCCGAAAGGCGUAGUCGAUGGGAAACAGGUUAAUAUUCCUGUACUUGGUGUUACUGCGAAGGGGGGACGGAGAAGGCUAUGUUGGCCGGGCGACGGUUGUCCCGGUUUAAGCGUGUAGGCUGGUUUUCCAGGCAAAUCCGGAAAACCAAGGCUGAGGCGUGAUGACGAGGCACUACGGUGCUGAAGCGACAAAUGCCCUGCUUCCAGGAAAAGCCUCUAAGCAUCAGGUAACAUCAAAUCGUACCCCAAACCGACACAGGUGGUCAGGUAGAGAAUACCAAGGCGCUUGAGAGAACUCGGGUGAAGGAACUAGGCAAAAUGGUGCCGUAACUUCGGGAGAAGGCACGCUGAUAUGUAGGUGAAGCGACUUGCUCGUGGAGCUGAAAUCAGUCGAAGAUACCAGCUGGCUGCAACUGUUUAUUAAAAACACAGCACUGUGCAAACACGAAAGUGGACGUAUACGGUGUGACGCCUGCCCGGUGCCGGAAGGUUAAUUGAUGGGGUUAGCGGUAACGCGAAGCUCUUGAUCGAAGCCCCGGUAAACGGCGGCCGUAACUAUAACGGUCCUAAGGUAGCGAAAUUCCUUGUCGGGUAAGUUCCGACCUGCACGAAUGGCGUAAUGAUGGCCAGGCUGUCUCCACCCGAGACUCAGUGAAAUUGAACUCGCUGUGAAGAUGCAGUGUACCCGCGGCAAGACGGAAAGACCCCGUGAACCUUUACUAUAGCUUGACACUGAACAUUGAGCCUUGAUGUGUAGGAUAGGUGGGAGGCUUUGAAGUGUGGACGCCAGUCUGCAUGGAGCCGACCUUGAAAUACCACCCUUUAAUGUUUGAUGUUCUAACGUUGGCCCGUAAUCCGGGUUGCGGACAGUGUCUGGUGGGUAGUUUGACUGGGGCGGUCUCCUCCUAAAGAGUAACGGAGGAGCACGAAGGUUGGCUAAUCCUGGUCGGACAUCAGGAGGUUAGUGCAAUGGCAUAAGCCAGCUUGACUGCGAGCGUGACGGCGCGAGCAGGUGCGAAAGCAGGUCAUAGUGAUCCGGUGGUUCUGAAUGGAAGGGCCAUCGCUCAACGGAUAAAAGGUACUCCGGGGAUAACAGGCUGAUACCGCCCAAGAGUUCAUAUCGACGGCGGUGUUUGGCACCUCGAUGUCGGCUCAUCACAUCCUGGGGCUGAAGUAGGUCCCAAGGGUAUGGCUGUUCGCCAUUUAAAGUGGUACGCGAGCUGGGUUUAGAACGUCGUGAGACAGUUCGGUCCCUAUCUGCCGUGGGCGCUGGAGAACUGAGGGGGGCUGCUCCUAGUACGAGAGGACCGGAGUGGACGCAUCACUGGUGUUCGGGUUGUCAUGCCAAUGGCACUGCCCGGUAGCUAAAUGCGGAAGAGAUAAGUGCUGAAAGCAUCUAAGCACGAAACUUGCCCCGAGAUGAGUUCUCCCUGAGACUUAGAGUCUCCUGAAGGAACGUUGAAGACGACGACGUUGAUAGGCCGGGUGUGUAAGCGCAGCGAUGCGUUGAGCUAACCGGUACUAAUGAACCGUGAGGCUUAACCUU
RNAcentral lists this ribosomal RNA (2334 nucleotides) under Escherichia coli. RNAcentral describes it as "partial 23S ribosomal RNA". It matches the Rfam family "Bacterial large subunit ribosomal RNA", at positions 612 to 2925 of the family's 2925-position model. The record is from RNAcentral. Lineage: Bacteria; Pseudomonadati; Pseudomonadota; Gammaproteobacteria; Enterobacterales; Enterobacteriaceae.